Molecule: ribosomal RNA, 253 nt
Filed under: uncultured bacterium
Lineage: Bacteria
Description: partial 16S ribosomal RNA
Rfam family: Bacterial small subunit ribosomal RNA
Source: RNAcentral
UACGUAGGGGGCUAGCGUUGUCCGGAAUCAUUGGGCGUAAAGCGCGUGUAGGCGGUCCGGUAAGUCCGCUGUGAAAGUCGGGGGCUCAACCCUCGAAUGCCGGUGGAUACUGUCGGGCUAGAGUGCGGUAGGGGAGACUGGAAUUCCUGGUGUAGCGGUGAAAUGCGCAGAUAUCAGGAGGAACACCGGCGGUGUAGACGGCUUGCUAGACCAUAACUGACGCUGAGGCACGAAAGCGUGGGUAGCAAACAGG